AUACGUAGGGGGCGAGCGUUGUCCGGAAUGAUUGGGCGUAAAGGGCGCGUAGGCGGCCCGGUAAGUCUGGAGUGAAAGUCCUGUUUUUAAGAUGGGAAUUGCUUUGGAUACUGUCGGGCUUGAGUGCAGGAGAGGUAAGUAGAAUUCCCAGUGUAGCGGUGAAAUGCGUAGAGAUUGGGAGGAACACCAGUGGCGAAGGCGACUUACAGGACUGUAACUGACGCUGAGGCGUGAAAGUGUGGGGAGAAAACAGGAUUAGAUACCCUGGUAGUCCACGCUGUAAACGAUGAAUGCUAGGUGUAGGGGGUAUCGACCCCUUCUGUGCCGCAGUCAACACAAUAAGCAUUCCGCCUGGGGAGUACGGCCGCAAGGUUGAAACUCAAAUUAAUUGACGGGG
RNAcentral lists this ribosomal RNA (397 nucleotides) under uncultured bacterium. RNAcentral's name for it is "partial 16S ribosomal RNA". It matches the Rfam family "Bacterial small subunit ribosomal RNA", at positions 523 to 918 of the family's 1533-position model. The record is from RNAcentral.